CCUCCGAUUAAUUUCACCUCAGUUGCGAAAAACGUCCCAUUUAGAAAUUUUCCACUCGCGUACUUUAAAGGUGAGCCCUCUCCUAAUAAAUUUAGUGUACAUACAACUAUAAAGAAAUCUGCCCCAGUGAAUUAUAUAGGAGGCUACCCCAGUCAUUGUUGACUCAUGGUUGCUUAAAGCUUUACAAGACCGACUGAUUUUAGUGACACUGUCGGUGUAAAAUAUUGAAUAAAAUGUUUAUGCUACGUGACUGGCAUUAUCUACAAGAGGAUCAUCCUUGUUGUCUCCAAGUGUAUUCUGGGUAAAACUUGUCACCAGCCGUCCACCAACGUCGUCAUCAGUCUCUUGGCAACAGAUGGCAAACUAGCUAUAACAUUUUUACGGACUAAGUUAACAGGCGUGGAGCUCCAUGGAGCGGCAAAGUGAGAAGGAUGGAAAAAAGAGAGCAAGGAAAAGUCAAAAACUGGACGCAUAUUUUGUUCGUCGUCUUGGAGAUGAAGCGGAGUUUUUUGAUUCAGGGCGCCAAAACUGCCAGUCCAGCCACGGAGCCAGGAGAGUUACAGUUAAGGUUUACAUUGGAGCCGCCUGGGAGAGCGGCGCGCGUGAUCCGCACCGAGUUGCAAAGAUCCAGAGGUGCACGAGCCGCGCUGCGUUUCCGCUUCAACGCGCACAAUGAACCGAGCUCCGUGCUCAUGAUAAAUUAAAACAAAUUCAAUAAUUUCCAUUGGCAUAAUUUAUAGUUUCUCUUUUUAUUUUUCUCUCUUUCUAC
This is a long non-coding RNA of Poecilia latipinna (sailfin molly), 769 nucleotides long. RefSeq lists it as uncharacterized. The transcript has 2 exons. The record is from RefSeq and is a predicted model, not a curated record. NCBI's taxonomy places the organism in Eukaryota, Metazoa, Chordata, Actinopteri, Cyprinodontiformes, Poeciliidae.